RNAcentral lists this ribosomal RNA (496 nucleotides) under uncultured bacterium. Its description in RNAcentral is "partial 16S ribosomal RNA". It matches the Rfam family "Bacterial small subunit ribosomal RNA", at positions 27 to 505 of the family's 1533-position model. The record is from RNAcentral.
GGAUGAACGCUGGCGGCGUGCCUAAUACAUGCAAGUCGAGCGAACAGAUGAGGAGCUUGCUCCUCUGACGUUAGCGGCGGACGGGUGAGUAACACGUGGAUAACCUACCUAUAAGACUGGGAUAACUUCGGGAAACCGGAGCUAAUACCGGAUAAUAUAUUGAACCGCAUGGUUCAAUAGUGAAAGACGGUUUUGCUGUCACUUAUAGAUGGAUCCGCGCCGCAUUAGCUAGUUGGUAAGGUAACGGCUUACCAAGGCAACGAUGCGUAGCCGACCUGAGAGGGUGAUCGGCCACACUGGAACUGAGACACGGUCCAGACUCCUACGGGAGGCAGCAGUAGGGAAUCUUCCGCAAUGGGCGAAAGCCUGACGGAGCAACGCCGCGUGAGUGAUGAAGUUCUUCGGAUCGUAAAACUCUGUUAUUAGGGAAGAACAAAUGUGUAAGUAACUAUGCACGUCUUGACGGUACCUAAUCAGAAAGCCCCGGCUAACUACG